AAUCAACGCUGGCGGCGUGCCUAACACAUGCAAGUCGAACGCGAAAGGGGGGCAAUCCCUGAUUAGAGUGGCAAACGGGUGAGUAACACGUGGGUGACCUGCCUUCGAGUGGGGGAUAACCUUCCGAAAGGAGGGCUAAUACUGCAUGACAUACCGUGUUUGGAUACACGGAUAUCAAAGCCGGGGACCGCAAGACCUGG
Molecule: ribosomal RNA, 200 nt
Filed under: uncultured bacterium
Lineage: Bacteria
Description: partial 16S ribosomal RNA
Rfam family: Bacterial small subunit ribosomal RNA
Source: RNAcentral